AACCGUCAAAUCACCUUAAACCCUUUUGGCUAUGAGGUUGUCCCCUUGCGGUUUUUUUUUCUGUUACAAUUAUGACUAAAAUUGGAGUUUUUUUUUUCUCAGAGGGAAAGCUACAACUCAUCUGAAAGUAGUAAAAAUUUCCUGUGAUCCCCCACCAGUCUAUGAUUAUCAGGUGCCUGUCUUUGUCGAACCCUUGGAAAAGUUUCAGUCAGAGCAAUGGGAUCUUACUACUCAACAGAUUUUGCCAUUCAUAGACGGAUUCAAUCAUGUUGCAAAAUAGCCUCUGAGGCAGAUGUUGAAAAUAAUCUAGUCAAGUCGUGUUUACAAAAUUUGCUCUACUACGGUGUGGUCAGCUUAAUUCCUAUAUUCCAGUAUUCCAAUAUGUACGCUGCUACGCCAAAAUACGGAAAUUGAGUACAGAAAGAUCUCUGCAAGAAAGUUGUGUCCGAGCGGCAGCAUUGGCAGGUCGGUGAGAAUUAAAAAGUUCUUUAUUAUUUCUUCUCAUUUUAAAUUUGUUGCUUAACCCCCUUAAAGCCCUAUUUAUUUGAACACUUUUAUUAUUCGGACAUAGCUUCUAACAUUGAUACCUUUUGAUUUCAGGCAGUCCCUUUCCGACGGUGAAAAUAUUCUCAGGCUGCUUUGCUCCAUGACUCACGGUACUACAGUCCGGACAUUUGUCUUAGGUAUAAUCCAUCCACAUUAAAUAUAGACAUCUGUAAAUUAGUUCAAUUUGCUGUGCUACAAGGACUUAUCCGAAAAAUUCGUAAGGUGAGUGCUCUGAUUCAACUUUAAAAUAUUCCUCUUCAACGGCGGAUUCUGCAAAUUGGCAACAUUUUCUUUUCUCCAUUUAAGCCAGGGGCCAGGUGAUCCGACAAGAAUCGAUUAUUUAGCUUAGGUUUAAAUAGAGAAAAUCCGUUGUUGACAAAUUAUUAGAUCGGCCUCUGUUCCUCUUUUUUUCUGUCAUUGCCACUUAAAUGACAGUGAACAAAAAGAAGGAAAAAAGGAAAGUCCAAAAAAUCCUAGUAAGUAAAAUAGUGAAAACUGUUUGUUUUGAUCCGCUCAAGAGCCCAGUGAGCAGAAGUAAUGGUGGACUUUUUUCAACUACCCACAUGUGUGCACUAGGAUAAAACUUUUCUUUUUAAAUCGGUCAAAUCAAAAGUUGCAUGGUCUUAGACCAUGCUGUGAUAAAAAAAAAUAGUGUAGACCAAAGGAUUUUGAAAACAUUGUUUUUACUAUCCUAGUAACCGAAAUAAAAAUCCACAAAUCAGUGCACAUUUCGUCACCUUCCGGGCAAAGUAUCACAAGCGCCAUGCGACGUUUCAAAAUGUCCACCGCCAUUUUAUUUUUUUACAGAGUAAUUGUUCAAUGAAGCUGUCCGAAAAUUUCUUUGAAUUUUCU
RNAcentral lists this long non-coding RNA (1398 nucleotides) under Bemisia tabaci. RNAcentral describes it as "lncRNA ENSSSA2NGG008638". The record is from RNAcentral. Lineage: Eukaryota; Metazoa; Arthropoda; Insecta; Hemiptera; Aleyrodidae.